This 253-nucleotide ribosomal RNA is filed under the name uncultured bacterium. RNAcentral describes it as "partial 16S ribosomal RNA". It matches the Rfam family "Bacterial small subunit ribosomal RNA", at positions 524 to 776 of the family's 1533-position model. The record is from RNAcentral.
UACGGAGGGUGCAAGCGUUAUCCGGAUUCACUGGGUUUAAAGGGCGCGUAGGUGGAUUGGUAAGUCAGUGGUGAAAUCUCCGGGCUUAACCCGGAAACUGCCAUUGAUACUAUCAGUCUUGAAUACCGUGGAGGUCAGUAGAAUAUGUCAUGUAGCGGUGAAAUGCUUAGAUAUGACAUAGAAUACCAAUUGCGAAGGCAGCUGGCUACACGAAUAUUGACACUCAGGCACGAAAGCGUGGGGAUCAAACAGG